Molecule: long non-coding RNA, 567 nt
Organism: Sitodiplosis mosellana (orange wheat blossom midge)
Lineage: Eukaryota; Metazoa; Arthropoda; Insecta; Diptera; Cecidomyiidae
Exons: 2
Source: RefSeq, a predicted model, not a curated record
CUGUGACCGCUAAUAGCUGAUAAUAGCUGAAGAUUUUCAAAAAGCUGAUAAUCAGCUCAAAAGCUGACCUGUGGACGUGAUGAUUUCCUCAAAUAACAGCUCUUAGAUAGCCUCUUAGUUUUAAACAACUAAAUUCAUUUUUUUUUUUCGAUUUCUUCUUUUUCAACAGUCAUAACAAUGUUGGCUGACAUAAGUUGGCUGUUUGGAUGUAUUCGAUACAAAACCGGCUACAUGUUCAUAGCUUUAGUGUGGUAUCUUAUUCCUAUCAGCAUCUGCCUCGAUUAUACGAUCUCCAGCAUAGUGAAAUUAAUGACUGACAUUAAAACUAACACCAAAGACAAUGACAUUUUUGCGGUCACCGUUCUUACCUGUGGCUUCAUCAUUUUUUAUAUUCUUGCUGCUUUGAGCUUUGCAUCGAUGUGGAGAACAACUCACCGGUAUAAUGGAUAAAACAAGGAUUUUACUUAAAAAAAACUUGUAUACCGUUUAUUAGAAAUAAAUUGUUGACACUUUUUUUAAAGAUUGGAUGGAUAUUCAAAUCUUGGAAUAUGUGCCGAAAUAACUUUG